AUCAUGACUCGCAGAUGACCCCUAUUGAUUUUGAGGUCACUAGGUCAAAGGUCAAGGUCACGGUGACCCAAAAUAGUAAAAUGGUUUUUGAAUGAUAACUCAAGAAAGCAUACGCCUAGGAUCAUGAAACUUCAUGGGUAGAUUGAUCAUGACUCGCAGAUGACCCCUAUUGAUUUUGAGGUCAAAGGUCAAGGUCACGGUGACCCAAAAUAGUAAAAUGGUUUCCGGAUGAUAACUCAAAAAUUCAUACGCCUAGGAUCAUGAAACUUCAUGGCUAGAUUGAUCAUGACUCGCAGAUGACCCCUAUUGAUUUUGAGGUCACUAGGUCAAAGGUCAAGGUCACGGUGACCCGAAAUAGUAAAAUGGUUUUCGGAUGAUAACUCAAGAACGCAUAUGCCUAGGAUCAUGAAACUUCACAGGUAGAUUGAUCAUUGCUCACAGAUGACCCUUAUUGAUUUUAAGGUCACAAGGUCAAGGUCACGGUGACCCGAAAUAGUAAAAUGAUUUUCGGAUGAUAACUCAAGAACGCUUUUGCCUAGGAUCAUGACACUUCAUAGGUACAUUGAUCGUGACUCACAGAUGACCCCUAUUGAUUUUCAGGUCACUAGGUCAAAGGUCAAGGUCACAGUGACAAAAAACGUAUUCACACAAUGGCUGCCACUACAACGGACAGCCCAUAUGGGGGGCAUGCAUGUUUUACAAACAGCCCUUGUUAAAGAUUCUUUUCUAGUGUUUAGUUUAUAUUUUAAGGCUGUUUGCAAACUCGAAGUGAAAACAGCUCUAGUACAAUUUGGUAAGGACAUGACAUUGCAUAUCUGAUUUAAAAAUGUACUUUGCUGGCAACGUGUAAUUUUCAGAAAUGUCUUAGUAAGUAAGACUGUUGUUUGCAAUCAAAAGGUAUGUGCUUCAAAUCCAGGAAAAUGCAUGUUUUUUGUCCAAAUUUAUGUAAAUUCAGACAUUGUUCUGUGUAAAUAUGGGGUUUGCUUGUAGGAUCAGUCUAUUUUUAUGUCCCCCACUAUAGUAGUGGGGGACAUGUUGUUUUUGCUCUGUCGGUCUGUUGAUUGGUUGGUUGGUCUGUUUAUGCCAACUUUAACAUUUUGCAAUAACUUGCAAUAUUGAAAGUAGCAACUUGAUAUUUGGCAUGCAAAUGCAUCUCCUGAAGCUGCACAUUAUCAUUGGUGAAAGGUCAAGGUCAUCCUUCAAGGUCAGAGGUCAAAUAUAUGUGCCCUUAAUCGCUCAUUUUAUGAAUACUUUUGCAAUAUUGAAGAUAGCAACUUGAUAUUUUGCAAGCAUGUGUAUCUCAUUGAGCUGCACAUUUUGAGUGUUGAAAGGUCAAGGUCAUCCUUCAAGGUCAGAGGUCAAAUAUAUGUGGCCCAAAUCGCUUAUUGUAUUAAUACUUUUGCAAUAUUGAAGAUAGCAACUUGAAAUUUGGCAUGCAUGUGUAUCUCAUGGAGCUGCACAUUUUGAGUGUUGAAAGGUCAAAGUCAUCCUUCAAGGUCAGAGGUUAAAUAUAUGUGGCCCAAAUCGCUUAUUUUAUGAAUACGUUUGCACUAUUGAAGAUAGCAACUUGAUAUUUGGCAUGCAUAUGCUCAUAGAGCUGCACAUUUUGAGUGGUGAAAGGUCAAGGUCAUCCUUCAAGGUCAAAUAUAUGGGUCAAAAUUGCUCAUGUUAUGUUACUUCUGCAAUAUUGAAGCUAGCAAUUUUAUAUUUGACAUGCAUGUGUAUCUCAUGGAGCUGCACAUUUUGAGUGGUGAAGGGUCAAGGUCAUCCUUCAAGGUCAAACGUUAUAAACGGGGACAUUGGGUUUCACAAACGCAUCUUGUUGUGUAUGUAAUUAAUUUUGCUUAAUUUUUGUGAUCCCCCGCCAACAGCGGAGGGAUAUUAAUUUGGCAUUGUCCGUCUUUCCGUCUGUCCGUCCGGCACUUUUGUGUCCGGAACCAUAUUUUGGAAGUGCUUUGGCAGAUUUCAUUGAAACUUGGUAUGAGUAUAUAUAUAUAUGGAUAAGAGGAUGAUGCACGCCAAAUGGCAUUGUACAUCCUUGAAUAAUAGCGGAGUUAUGACCCUUUGUAUUUGAAAAAAAUGCUUUUUUUGUGUGUCCAGAGCCAUAACUUGUAUCCAGAAGUAUAAUGGCGGGGGAUAUCAAUUCAACGAAUUUGCUUGUUAAAUCAGUUUUUAUUUUCAUGAUAAUCAUUUAGUUCGUACUGCAACUUAUGAUGGAUUGUUACUACUAUCUCCAAUUAUGUGUUUGUCAUGGGUCCGUCACCAUUUAUCUCUUAUAUAAUACUUGAAUUGAGCAUUUCACAAUCUGACAAUCAUGCAUAUCAUUUAUUAGUUUCAUAAUAAAACGUCUGACAAGGGUCAGAUAAUUUUAA
Long non-coding RNA from Dreissena polymorpha, 2372 nucleotides. RefSeq lists it as uncharacterized. The record is from RefSeq and is a predicted model, not a curated record. NCBI's taxonomy places the organism in Eukaryota, Metazoa, Mollusca, Bivalvia, Myida, Dreissenidae. The transcript is spliced from 2 exons.